This 446-nucleotide ribosomal RNA is filed under the name uncultured bacterium. RNAcentral describes it as "bacterial SSU rRNA". It matches the Rfam family "Bacterial small subunit ribosomal RNA", at positions 29 to 523 of the family's 1533-position model. The record is from RNAcentral.
AACGAACGCUGGCGGCAUGCCUAACACAUGCAAGUCGAACGAGACCUUCGGGUCUAGUGGCGCACGGGUGCGUAACGCGUGGGAAUCUGCCCUUGGGUUCGGAAUAACUUCGGGAACUGAAGCUAAUACCGGAUGAUGACGUAAGUCCAAAGAUUUAUCGCCCAAGGAUGAGCCCGCGUAGGAUUAGCUAGUUGGUGAGGUAAAGGCUCACCAAGGCGACGAUCCUUAGCUGGUCUGAGAGGAUGAUCAGCCACACUGGGACUGAGACACGGCCCAGACUCCUACGGGAGGCAGCAGUGGGGAAUAUUGGACAAUGGGCGAAAGCCUGAUCCAGCAAUGCCGCGUGAGUGAUGAAGGCCUAGGGUUGUAAGCUCUUUACCCGGGACUGAUAAUGACAGUACCGGGAGAAUAAGCUCCGGCUAACUCCGUGCCAGCAGCCGCGGUAA